This 23-nucleotide microRNA is filed under the name Monodelphis domestica (gray short-tailed opossum). Its description in RNAcentral is "Mdo-Mir-7373-P5b_5p (mature (guide))". Lineage: Eukaryota; Metazoa; Chordata; Mammalia; Didelphimorphia; Didelphidae. The record is from RNAcentral.
UAGCCCUUACCCCCCCGACUAAU